UACGGGGGGGGCAAGCGUUGUUCGGAAUUACUGGGCGUAAAGCGUGCGCAGGCGGUUUGCUAAGAGAGAUGUGAAAUCCCCGGGCUUAACCUGGGAACUGCGUUUCUAACUGGCAGGCUUGAGUGUGGCAGAGGGGGGUGGAAUUCCACGUGUAGCAGUGAAAUGCGUAGAGAUGUGGAGGAGCACCGAUGGCGAAGGCAGCCCCCUGGGCUAACACUGACGCUCAUGCACGAAAGCGUGGGGAGCAAACAGG
This 253-nucleotide ribosomal RNA is filed under the name uncultured bacterium. Its description in RNAcentral is "partial 16S ribosomal RNA". It matches the Rfam family "Bacterial small subunit ribosomal RNA", at positions 524 to 776 of the family's 1533-position model. The record is from RNAcentral.